GGAAUUUUCACUGUGUAUGGUUAUGUAUUUGGCUCUGGUACGAGACUUUUUGUGACAGACAAUAACGUACGAAAACCCAAAGUGACGGUCUACUCAGAGUCCAACCCUGAGUCGAAUGUGAACACCCUGCUAUGUCUGGCUGGAGACAUGUUUCCAGACUUGGUCAAGAUCUCAUGGAAGAUGGAGGAUGAAAACGGCAGAGCAGUCGAGGUGCCUAAAGCAGAGGGGGAACAACUGGAGCAGAGGGAGGAAGGACAGACGACCAGUAUGAUCAUCACUGAUAAAGAGAAGAUUUACAGGAACAAAUACAUCUGUUCUGUGGAGCAUGAAGGGGGCCCUCAAGAUGUUUACAUGCUAAAAGAUCAACCAACUGAAGCUCCGCCAACCACCGUGGCUGCACCAACCUGUUCGUUCAGAAAUGACACACAGCAGUCACAGUCUCUACAUCUUACCGAUGCAGAACCACAGUUACCGCAAGUCGCAAAGAAAACAGGAGCUACCUCCUCUAUUCCAGCACCAUUUCAACUUCAACUUCAACAUUUUCAACAUCAUCUGCUUAGUCUGAUACAGUGAC
Molecule: long non-coding RNA, 574 nt
Filed under: Salmo salar (Atlantic salmon)
Lineage: Eukaryota; Metazoa; Chordata; Actinopteri; Salmoniformes; Salmonidae
Description: lncRNA (ENSSSAG00000111684.1, ENSSSAG00020084121.1)
Source: RNAcentral